RNAcentral lists this ribosomal RNA (396 nucleotides) under uncultured bacterium. RNAcentral's name for it is "bacterial SSU rRNA". It matches the Rfam family "Bacterial small subunit ribosomal RNA", at positions 32 to 407 of the family's 1533-position model. The record is from RNAcentral.
AAUCAACGCUGGCGGCGUGCCUCAGACAUGCAAGUCGAACGCGAAAGUCCCCUUCGGGGGACAAGUAGAGUGGCGCACGGGUGAGUAACACGUAGGUAAUCUACCUUCGGAUGGGGAAUAACAACCGGAAACGGUUGCUAAUACCGCAUAAUGCAGCGGCACCUAAUGGUGACAGUUGUUAAAGCGGGGGAUUGAAAGACCUCGCGUCUGAAGAGGAGCCUGCGGCGGAUUAGCUUGUUGGAGGGUAACGGCCUACCAAGGCGACGAUCCGUAGCCGGCCUGAGAGGGCGGUCGGCCACACUGACACUGACAUACGGGUCAGACUCCUACGGGAGGCAGCAGUCGGGAAUUUUGGGCAAUGGGCGACAAGCCUGACGCAGCGACGCCGCGUGAGGA